AGAAUAGAAAAGCAGCAUUCUGAACAGCAAUGCUCAUCACAUAAACAUGAAGUUUCCUCCAAAAGGAAUGAUGACUAAUGCUUUGAGGAAACAGCAGACGUCAGACAGCAAGCCCAGAAAAACCUGCCAGCACCAAGAGGGUGUCCUCAACAGGCGCCUGGGGGACAUAUUAUUCUAACUAAAGAGACCAGAGCUUCCCCAGGAAGGGAAGAGGAGAGAAAUGAAGAACGUCUGUGUUCAUGUUUGCCAAAAACAAAAGUCUGAGAAAUCUCUGAGAGACUCUACAUGGGAGGAAAAGUGCAACCCACUGGAGAAAGAGAGGGACUCCGAGGAAGGAGAGAGAGAAGAGCAUCAAGCACAAAUGAUGAUCUCCUAGGACAGUGGCAGCUUCUGAGAAUGCACAGGAAAGUGACCAGGGAAAGAAUGAUUCCAUCUCCAGGAAUCCCUGGUGAUCUUCAGAGCCCAGACAGGACCCUGCUGGGCCAUGGUAACUGAGAAACUGAGAAGCAGAUACAGUGGUCCCUAUGUUGGCAACCUCAGCUGAAGAGGAACAACUCUCUCUAUAAUCAAGACUUAAUCUUGGCCUGGUGUGCCUCAUUUUUAUAGGACUUCUGAAACCAGAAAUCACCAGCGUGGGGAGAGAACAUUAAAGGCAGAGGUGUCUCUUAUAAGCACAACGUGUGACCAGGUAAUACUGUCUGGAUUAGCAGCUGUACAGCCUAACUAAGCCCUGGAGCUACAAUUAUCUGGUCGCAUUAAACUGAAAUCACCUGAAAAACUUCACACUGAACAAGCCUUUGGAAAUGUCUAAUCUGCCAGUUUACACCCAGAAGUGAAAGUGGAAUUCACUUGUUAAAGACAAGAAAACAAAAGUUUUCUGCCAGGAAGAGUCUCAUCUUAGAACCAGUAUAGGGUCUGAAGACAUUUCUGCAAUUUAUGUUUAUGCCAUUCUUUCACUUUUAUUUAAAAAGGAGAUUUAACCUGACCAUUCUCUUUGAAGCCGAUGUCCCAAGUAUAUAUGUUUGAUGAGGGUACAGAAGACAUAAGGAAUAAAACUGCAUUGCCACAGAGGGAAUACACGGCUCCAGAUACAAGGCUUUAUGCUAAUUUUAGCAAAAUGUAUGUAUCUUUUUACAUACAUAAAGUUAUGGCACUAUAUAAAGAGAUCCUUAAAUGUGACAUACACUGAA
Molecule: long non-coding RNA, 1190 nt
Filed under: Homo sapiens (human)
Lineage: Eukaryota; Metazoa; Chordata; Mammalia; Primates; Hominidae
Description: SOX5 antisense RNA 1
Source: RNAcentral